Molecule: ribosomal RNA, 765 nt
Filed under: Vreelandella venusta
Lineage: Bacteria; Pseudomonadati; Pseudomonadota; Gammaproteobacteria; Oceanospirillales; Halomonadaceae
Description: bacterial SSU rRNA
Rfam family: Bacterial small subunit ribosomal RNA
Source: RNAcentral
UAGCAACGCGGCAGCUACCAUGCAGUCGAGCGGUAGCACAGAGAAGCUUGCUUCUUGGGUGACGAGCGGCGGACGGGUGAGUAAUGCAUAGGAAUCUGCCCGAUAGUGGGGGAUAACCUGGGGAAACCCAGGCUAAUACCGCAUACGUCCUACGGGAGAAAGGGGGCUCCGGCUCCCGCUAUUGGAUGAGCCUAUGUCGGAUUAGCUAGUUGGUGAGGUAAAGGCUCACCAAGGCAACGAUCCGUAGCUGGUCUGAGAGGAUGAUCAGCCACAUCGGGACUGAGACACGGCCCGAACUCCUACGGGAGGCAGCAGUGGGGAAUAUUGGACAAUGGGCGCAAGCCUGAUCCAGCCAUGCCGCGUGUGUGAAGAAGGCCCUCGGGUUGUAAAGCACUUUCAGCGAGGAAGAACGCCUAGCGGUUAAUACCCGCUAGGAAAGACAUCACUCGCAGAAGAAGCACCGGCUAACUCCGUGCCAGCAGCCGCGGUAAUACGGAGGGUGCAAGCGUUAAUCGGAAUUACUGGGCGUAAAGCGCGCGUAGGUGGCUUGAUAAGCCGGUUGUGAAAGCCCCGGGCUCAACCUGGGAACGGCAUCCGGAACUGUCAAGCUAGAGUGCAGGAGAGGAAGGUAGAAUUCCCGGUGUAGCGGUGAAAUGCGUAGAGAUCGGGAGGAAUACCAGUGGCGAAGGCGGCCUUCUGGACUGACACUGACACUGAGGUGCGAAAGCGUGGGUAGCAAACAGGAUUAGAUAUCCUGGGGUAGUC